GACGAACGCUGGCGGCGUGCUUAACACAUGCAAGUCGAACGGAAAGGCCCUGCUUUUGUGGGGUGCUCGAGUGGCGAACGGGUGAGUAACACGUGAGUAACCUGCCCUUGACUUUGGGAUAACUUCAGGAAACUGGGGCUAAUACCGGAUAGGAGCUCCUGCUGCAUGGUGGGGGUUGGAAAGUUUCGGCGGUUGGGGAUGGACUCGCGGCUUAUCAGCUUGUUGGUGGGGUAGUGGCUUACCAAGGCUUUGACGGGUAGCCGGCCUGAGAGGGUGACCGGCCACAUUGGGACUGGGAUACGGCCCAGACUCCUACGGGAGGCAGCAGUGGGGAAUAUUGCACAAUGGGCGGAAGCCUGAUGCAGCAACGCCGCGGGCGGGAUGACGGCCUUCGGGUUGUAAACCGCUUUCGCCUGUGACGAAGCGUGAGUGACGGUAAUGGGUAAAGAAGCACCGGCUAACUACGUG
This 468-nucleotide ribosomal RNA is filed under the name uncultured bacterium. RNAcentral describes it as "partial 16S ribosomal RNA". It matches the Rfam family "Bacterial small subunit ribosomal RNA", at positions 28 to 507 of the family's 1533-position model. The record is from RNAcentral.